CGAAAGCAGAAACCGAGGUGGCCGGGGGCACGGGUCAGUAGCUGAGGGUGGAGUCAUCCCACUCCAGCUGCUGCUGCCGGGUUGCGUUCUGGGGGUCGCCCUGCUCCCCCUCCUCCUCCUCGCUGCUCUCCGACUCGGCGCUGGUGAUGUCAUCCUCUUCUUCGCCGUCCUCGCUUUCCUCUUCCUCUUCCUCUUCCUCCUCCUCCUCACUGCUGUGCUGGUCCUCAUAG
RNAcentral lists this long non-coding RNA (230 nucleotides) under Homo sapiens (human). Its description in RNAcentral is "lncAB7.1". Lineage: Eukaryota; Metazoa; Chordata; Mammalia; Primates; Hominidae. The record is from RNAcentral.